Molecule: long non-coding RNA, 1561 nt
Organism: Leopardus geoffroyi (Geoffroy's cat)
Lineage: Eukaryota; Metazoa; Chordata; Mammalia; Carnivora; Felidae
Exons: 6
Source: RefSeq, a predicted model, not a curated record
ACAGAGCCCAAUGCAGGGCUUGAACUUGUGAACCUCAAAAUCAUGACCUGAGCCAAAGUUGGCCACUUAGCCACCUGAGCCACUCAGGCACCCCUCACAUUUGAUCCUUACAACAGAUCCUGGAAGUAUCACACAGUGGCUAUAGCAAGGAGGGCUUGAACUGAACUAUGUCUGCAUGGAGCGCAACCAAAGAAGAGUCAAGUGUGCAAAAGAAUAACAAGUCAAUGGUGUUCUCCAGGGCUGUCCAUUAGAGAGCGUAGACUCAGGAUAUCACCCUCUUCUUACCUUGUUAGCUGCUCCUGCUCGGUCCCUUGCUGGCUGCUCUUUGCCUCCACAACCUUCUGAUGUUGCAGUGUCCCAGAUCCCAGUCCUUGGACCUCUUCUCUUUCUUACCUCCCUCAUCCAAUGUGGGAGCUUAAUAAGUCGGUGACCCAUCUGAGCUGGCAUCAGAGGAAGGAUCAGGGUGCUCAAAAGAAGGGCCUUGGAUGAUGGCCUCCAAGGCACCCUCUUUCUGUGAAAGGGAGCAAGAGGAAUCAGUCAAGUUUCCUCACUGUGAUGGGCCGAGGAGCUCUGUGUAUUCCCUGUGGAUAGUGGCCUGCCACUGGAGAGGCCACAGGCUGGAGCAAGGAGCUGACUCAUAGGGUAAGGAGAAAAUGGCCUGGAUCUUUCACAGAGAUUCAAGUAAUUCCUAGUACUCUACCUUCAGUGGGACACUUCUAAAAAUGAAUAAAGAAUUCCAACAAAUCAAUAAGAAAAAGACAAACAACCCAAAAGAAAAAUGGAUAAAAGAAAUGAACCAGAAAAUCAAAGAAGAAAUGGCCAAUAAUGAUACGAAAAGAUGAAUGAUCUGUAUUAUAGUCUUUUGCAACUUGCUGUUUGCAAUACAACACUAUGACUCUAAGCUUUUCAUCCACCCGUGGUAUUGUGUGCGGCAAUAUUCAUUUUCACUAGUGUGACAGUAUUUCAUUGGGUGAGUAUUCCACAAUUCUAUUCUCCCCAAAAUACAUGUAGCAUGAAUCUAUAUUUAUAAUGCUCAAAAACAGCUACAAAUCAUAUAUUAUAUUGCAAAACAAUACUUCAUAGAACUAUCUUUUUUUAAAAAGCCAAGUAAUGAUAAAGACAAAUUUCAAGAUAAUGUUUCCUUGGGGAAGGGGGAGAUUGACAUUGAGGAUGGGAUGAGAGAAUGUAUCUGUUAUCUAUUGCUGCAUAAGGAACCACACUGAAGCUUGGUGGCUUAAAACAAAAAUCAAUUAUUUCUCAUGAUUCUCUGGGUCAAGACUUCCCACAGGGUUCUUCCACACAGAACCAUCUGGCCCUCUCGUGCAACUGCAUUCAGCGGGACUGGGCUGGAUGGUCAAGAUGGCCCCACCCUCAAGGCUGCUAUGCCUUGGACCUUUUCUACUUGAUUUCUCUCACCAUGUGGUGUCUCAUCCUCCAGGGCCUCUUUUUCCAUGUGGCCUUUCCCUCCAGCAGGGUAGACUGGAUGUUCUUUACAAGGAGAAAACACCCACACAGUACUUGUGUAAUUAAAACUUAAUUACAAUUAAAAUAUAUUACCUAA